ACGGUUCGCCCCUCUCUAGGUGCCCCGGCGCUCAGCCGCCGGGGAUAAUCGGGAAGCCGGUGCGCGAAUCGACAUUCGCAAGGCCGGCACUGCCCCCGCAACGGUAGGCGGAGACGGGCGGAUCCAAUGCCACUGCGGCGCAUCCCCGGGAUGCCCGCGGGAAGGCGAUCCGCCCUGGAUGCAUCGCGCAUCCACUUCGCGAGUCCGGAGACCGGCCUGGACGACACCCGACGC
RNAcentral lists this non-coding RNA (234 nucleotides) under Thioalkalivibrio sp. Lineage: Bacteria; Pseudomonadati; Pseudomonadota; Gammaproteobacteria; Chromatiales; Ectothiorhodospiraceae. The record is from RNAcentral.